RNAcentral lists this ribosomal RNA (253 nucleotides) under uncultured bacterium. RNAcentral's name for it is "partial 16S ribosomal RNA". It matches the Rfam family "Bacterial small subunit ribosomal RNA", at positions 524 to 776 of the family's 1533-position model. The record is from RNAcentral.
UACGUAGGCAGCAAGCGUUGUUCGGAGUUACUGGGCGUAAAGGGUGUGUAGGCGGUUGUUUAAGUUUGGUGUGAAAUCUCCCGGCUCAACUGGGAGGGUGCGCCGAAUACUGAAUGACUAGAGUGCGGGAGAGGAGAGUGGAAUUCCUGGUGUAGCGGUGAAAUGCGUAGAUAUCAGGAGGAACACCGGUGGUGUAGACGGCUCUCUGGACCGUAACUGACGCUGAGGCACGAAAGCGUGGGUAGCAAACAGG